AAGUUACCAAGGGAAUAUGAGCACAGCAAAUCAGGAUCCCCUGAAACAUACUGCAAGACUCAUCAAGCAACGAAAACAGCUGCAGCUGGUAAUGGACUGAAUAUGAAGAAGAGUGGAAGAAGAGUGAAAAGAGAUUUGGAAGUUAGAAUGAGUAGGGAGAAGAAGGAAUUGUUAAGUUGGUGUAUGUAAGAAGAAAGUCUGAGAGGGAGAAAGAAGAUGAAGAUAAGAAGAUAGAAAAGGUGAAUGGAAAGGUGAUAAAGGUUGACGAAGAAGAAGAACAAAAGAAGAGACAAGUACAACCUAAACAUAUAUAUAUAUAUAUAUAUAUAUAGAGAGAGAGAGAGAGAGAGAGAGAGAUUACUAAUUUAAGACUAGACUUGUAUUUUACGUUUU
Molecule: long non-coding RNA, 393 nt
Organism: Sceloporus undulatus (fence lizard)
Lineage: Eukaryota; Metazoa; Chordata; Lepidosauria; Squamata; Phrynosomatidae
Exons: 3
Source: RefSeq, a predicted model, not a curated record